UACGUAGGUGGCAAGCGUUGUCCGGAUUUAUUGGGUUUAAAGGGUGCGUAGGCGGCCUGUUAAGUCAGGGGUGAAAGACGGUAGCUCAACUAUCGCAGUGCCCUUGAUACUGAUGGGCUUGAAUGGACUAGAGGUAGGCGGAAUGUGACAAGUAGCGGUGAAAUGCAUAGAUAUGUCACAGAACACCGAUUGCGAAGGCAGCUUACUAUGGUCUUAUUGACGCUGAGGCACGAAAGCGUGGGGAUCAAACAGG
This 253-nucleotide ribosomal RNA is filed under the name uncultured bacterium. Its description in RNAcentral is "partial 16S ribosomal RNA". It matches the Rfam family "Bacterial small subunit ribosomal RNA", at positions 524 to 776 of the family's 1533-position model. The record is from RNAcentral.